Molecule: transfer RNA, 69 nt
Filed under: Chloroflexota bacterium
Lineage: Bacteria; Bacillati; Chloroflexota
Description: Chloroflexi bacterium tRNA-Ser
Source: RNAcentral
AGGCACGCACAAGGUGCCCGCGAACUCAUAAUCCGCGGGUCGCAGGUUCGAAUCCUGCUGGGCCCACCA